ACGAACGCUGGCGGCGUGCUUAACACAUGCAAGUCGAACGGAAAGGCCUGUCCUUCCUUGUGUUGGACGGGUACUCGAGUGGCGAACGGGUGAGUAACACGUGAGUGAUCUGCCCCCAACUUGGGUAUAAGCCUGGGAAACUGGGUCUAAUUCCCGAUAGGACUGCAGGGUGGUUCCUGUGGUGGAAAACGAUUUUCUAGUGGUUGGGGAUGAGCUCGCGGCCUAUCAGCUUGUUGGUGGGGUAAUGGCCUACCAAGGCGGCGACGGGUAGCCGGCCUGAGAGGGUGGACGGCCACAUUGGGACUGAGAUACGGCCCAGACUCCUACGGGAGGCAGCAGUGGGGAAUAUUGCACAAUGGGCGGAAGCCUGAUGCAGCGACGCCGCGUGGGGGAUGACGGCCUUCGGGUUGUAAACUCCUUUCGCCCGCGAGGAAGCCGCCUGGUUGGAAGGGUGGUGACGGUAGUGGUAGAAGAAGCACCGGCUAACUACGUG
This 493-nucleotide ribosomal RNA is filed under the name uncultured bacterium. RNAcentral describes it as "partial 16S ribosomal RNA". It matches the Rfam family "Bacterial small subunit ribosomal RNA", at positions 29 to 507 of the family's 1533-position model. The record is from RNAcentral.